Molecule: transfer RNA, 64 nt
Filed under: Ambigolimax valentianus
Lineage: Eukaryota; Metazoa; Mollusca; Gastropoda; Stylommatophora; Limacidae
Description: tRNA-Gly
Source: RNAcentral
GUUUAAUUUAGUAUAUAAAGUAUAACUACCUUCCAAGUAGUAGGACUUACAAAAGAAUUACACA